Molecule: ribosomal RNA, 261 nt
Filed under: uncultured archaeon
Lineage: Archaea
Description: partial 16S ribosomal RNA
Rfam family: Archaeal small subunit ribosomal RNA
Source: RNAcentral
CAGCCGUAAACUAUGCUCGCUAGGUGUCAGGCAUGGCGCGACCGUGUCUGGUGCCGCAGGGAAGCCGUGAAGCGAGCCACCUGGGAAGUACGGCCGCAAGGCUGAAACUUAAAGGAAUUGGCGGGGGAGCACAACAACGGGUGGAGCCUGCGGUUUAAUUGGACUCAACGUCGGACAACUCACCGGGGACGACAGCAAUAUGUAGGCCAGGCUGAAGACCUUGCCUGAAUCGCUGAGAGGAGGUGCAUGGCGUAGACGUCU